RNAcentral lists this ribosomal RNA (1017 nucleotides) under uncultured organism. Its description in RNAcentral is "bacterial SSU rRNA". It matches the Rfam family "Bacterial small subunit ribosomal RNA", at positions 356 to 1376 of the family's 1533-position model. The record is from RNAcentral.
GAGGAAUAUUGGUCAAUGGACGAGAGUCUGAACCAGCCAAGUAGCGUGAAGGAUGACUGCCCUAUGGGUUGUAAACUUCUUUUAUACGGGAAUAAAGUUAGCCACGUGUGGCUUUUUGUAUGUACCGUAUGAAUAAGGAUCGGCUAACUCCGUGCCAGCAGCCGCGGUAAUACGGAGGAUCCGAGCGUUAUCCGGAUUUAUUGGGUUUAAAGGGAGCGUAGGCGGGUUGUUAAGUCAGUUGUGAAAGUUUGCGGCUCAACCGUAAAAUUGCAGUUGAUACUGGCGACCUUGAGUGUAACAGAGGUAGGCGGAAUUCGUGGUGUAGCGGUGAAAUGCUUAGAUAUCACGAAGAACUCCGAUUGCGAAGGCAGCUUACUGGAUUGUAACUGACGCUGAUGCUCGAAAGUGUGGGUAUCAAACAGGAUUAGAUACCCUGGUAGUCCACACAGUAAACGAUGAAUACUCGCUGUUGGCGAUAUACGGUCAGCGGCCAAGCGAAAGCAUUAAGUAUUCCACCUGGGGAGUACGCCGGCAACGGUGAAACUCAAAGGAAUUGACGGGGGCCCGCACAAGCGGAGGAACAUGUGGUUUAAUUCGAUGAUACGCGAGGAACCUUACCCGGGCUUAAAUUGCAACUGACUGAACCGGAAACGGUUCUUUCUUCGGACAGUUGUGAAGGUGCUGCAUGGUUGUCGUCAGCUCGUGCCGUGAGGUGUCGGCUUAAGUGCCAUAACGAGCGCAACCCUUAUCGAUAGUUACUAGCAGGUCAUGCUGAGGACUCUAUUGAGACUGCCGUCGUAAGAUGUGAGGAAGGUGGGGAUGACGUCAAAUCAGCACGGCCCUUACGUCCGGGGCUACACACGUGUUACAAUGGGGGGUACAGAAGGCAGCUACACGGCGACGUGGUGCUAAUCCCGAAAGCCUCUCUCAGUUCGGAUUGGAGUCUGCAACCCGACUCCAUGAAGCUGGAUUCGCUAGUAAUCGCGCAUCAGCCACGGCGCGGUGAAUACGUUCCCG